GUGCUCACUUCUGCAGCACAUAUAUUAAAACUGGAACAAUAUGAGAAGAUUAGCAUGGCCCUUGCACAAGGAUGACACACAAAUUCACGAAGCAUUCUAUAUUUUU
Molecule: small nuclear RNA, 106 nt
Organism: Choloepus hoffmanni (Hoffmann's two-fingered sloth)
Lineage: Eukaryota; Metazoa; Chordata; Mammalia; Pilosa; Megalonychidae
Source: Ensembl